GUGUCAGCAGCCGCGGUAAGACGAACCGUGCGAACGUUGUUCGGAAUCACUGGGCUUAAAGGGCGCGUAGGCGGGCGGUCAAGUCUGUGGUGAAAUCCUUCGGCUCAACCGGAGAAUAGCUGGAGAUACUGGCCGUCUCGAGGGGGGUAGGGGCAUGUGGAACUUCCGGUGGAGCGGUGAAAUGCGUAGAUAUCGGAAGGAACGCCGGUGGCGAAAGCGACGUGCUGGACCCUUUCUGACGCUGAGGCGCGAAAGCCAGGGGAGCAAACGGGAUUAGAUACCCCCGUAGUCC
This 292-nucleotide ribosomal RNA is filed under the name uncultured bacterium. RNAcentral's name for it is "partial 16S ribosomal RNA". It matches the Rfam family "Bacterial small subunit ribosomal RNA", at positions 505 to 796 of the family's 1533-position model. The record is from RNAcentral.